Non-coding RNA from Camelina sativa (false flax), 146 nucleotides. NCBI's taxonomy places the organism in Eukaryota, Viridiplantae, Streptophyta, Magnoliopsida, Brassicales, Brassicaceae. The record is from RefSeq and is a predicted model, not a curated record.
AACAAAGCCAUGUACGCGCUGCUCUGGCGGAAGAGUUGGCUGUUUUAAGACAAGUGGAUGAGUUUGCAGUGAAAGGGAUAAGUCCUCCAAGAGGAAAGAAUGGCUUUGCUAGGGCGUCAUCGUUGUCACCUAAUGCAAGGAUGGCC